CUAGAGACUGGAGAGGAUCCUGCAGGGAUAACCAGCCCUCUAAGGAGACUUCCCCUGUAGCAAAGGUACCGCCUGGCUCCAGUGGAUUCCCCAGGAAGACAGUAAUUCCUCAUCCUCUAAUAGAGCCAAUAAAUAUCGUGAGAGGAUUUUCUAUGGAUUUCUACCGGCUCUUCCUACUGGAUUUAAGUAGUGUCUUCUCGGUAUAAUUUUGUGACUGCUGUCAAAACAGGAUCCAUUUCCACACCAGAAGGCUCAGCAACAUGCUGCUAAUCUGGCGUCAUCACUAAGGAACUGAAGCAGCAAGACAGAGGAGAGCCAUGCCUGAGCGUCGCCUCUUCUUUUAUCUCCACACGGCCUGAAUUUGAUUUAACUCUGCGUCUUCCUCCUCAACGAGGUUGAAAUAUAUCAGUUUACUUAAUGGCCCAUCAAG
Long non-coding RNA from Bubalus bubalis (water buffalo), 430 nucleotides. RefSeq lists it as uncharacterized. Lineage: Eukaryota; Metazoa; Chordata; Mammalia; Artiodactyla; Bovidae. The transcript is spliced from 3 exons. The record is from RefSeq and is a predicted model, not a curated record.